GACUUGGUCGAUCCUCCACUCGGUACGGACAUGUCACGGUUUUCAACGGGCCGGUAAGGAGAUGGAAGAAGAAAUGGGUGAACGUUUCCCCAUCUAACGGCCGCGGCAACAACAAUAAUCAUUCUAAAAAUCACCAUAGAAUCAAUAGUACAUCUAACGGUAAUAACGGUACGCAUCUCCUCCUUUUUAAGUGGACCCCAAUAUCCCAUAGCCAAAACAACAACGCAAACAAUUCUACCAAGGCCGUUGCGUGGCGGAGCCCGAGGAGCCUCCCAGGCGGAAAUUUAAAUACAUCCCGAUUGCUGUGUUAGAAGAACAGAAAAAGGAAGAUGCAGGAAAUGUUGAGGAUGAAACUAAAACAAGUGAGACCGACCCCAGUGUAGCUGAGCCAACUUCCAGGAAUGAUGCUUUUGAUGACAUUAAUGACGUGCCUCCGGAACAAAAUGAGGAGGACAAUAAAAUAGUAGGACAAGGUCUGAACGAAAGCACAUUGGAUUUGAGUUUAGGUUUGAUUGCUCAUGAUGGCGAGUCUGAUUCAAAACCAGAUCAUAAUGGUCAGCUGGGAUUGGAAAGAGUGAA
This is a long non-coding RNA of Hibiscus syriacus, 579 nucleotides long. RefSeq lists it as uncharacterized. Lineage: Eukaryota; Viridiplantae; Streptophyta; Magnoliopsida; Malvales; Malvaceae. The transcript is spliced from 3 exons. The record is from RefSeq and is a predicted model, not a curated record.